ACCAUUCUUUGGUCAAGGGUAUAUGAGUAGCUGUACUCCCCUUCUAGAAAUUCCAAACAAGCUCUCAAAAAGAUAUGAAGUCAAAACAAUGAAAUACCACC
Molecule: unclassified non-coding RNA, 101 nt
Organism: Nomascus leucogenys (northern white-cheeked gibbon)
Lineage: Eukaryota; Metazoa; Chordata; Mammalia; Primates; Hylobatidae
Gene: 7SK
Rfam family: 7SK RNA
About the family: 7SK was discovered as an abundant small nuclear RNA in the mid-70s but a possible function has only recently been suggested. Two independent studies have found that 7SK RNA binds the CDK9/cyclin T complex (known as elongation factor P-TEFb).
Source: Ensembl